GAAGCAGGCCCGAUGGUCGCCCGCCAAUAGGCGGGAGGAAAGUCCGAGCUCCAAAGGGCAGGGUGCUCCGUAAUGCGGAGUCUACCCCCUCCUUAAUCCUCCCCCUUAAUAAGGGGGAGGGAAUGGGUGAGGGAGCAGAAGGAAAGUGCCACAGAAAAUAUACCGCCCUGUGCCGUAAUGGCACAGGGUAAGGGUGAAAAGGCGAGGUAAAAGCUCACCGCUCUGAUGGCAACAUCAGGGGCAUGGUAAACCCCACCCGGAGCAAGACCAAAUAGGUUCCGCUCCACUUGAUGGUAAGAAUGGCCCAUUCAAUAUUCUAUCUUAUGAUAGAAAGGCGGAACGGGUUAGGUCGCACGAUCCUGACAGCAAUAUCAGGACAAGAGGAAUGACCGUCAUCCACUCCAUCUUCAAGAUGGGAUGGACAACAGAACUCGGCUUAUGACCUGCUUCAGCA
RNAcentral lists this RNase P RNA (454 nucleotides) under Nitrospirota bacterium. RNAcentral's name for it is "Nitrospirae bacterium (groundwater metagenome) RNase P RNA component class A". It matches the Rfam family "Bacterial RNase P class A". From Rfam's summary of the family: Ribonuclease P (RNase P) is a ubiquitous endoribonuclease, found in archaea, bacteria and eukarya as well as chloroplasts and mitochondria. Its best characterised activity is the generation of mature 5'-ends of tRNAs by cleaving the 5'-leader elements of precursor-tRNAs. The record is from RNAcentral. Lineage: Bacteria; Pseudomonadati; Nitrospirota.